AUUGAACGCUGGCGGCAGGCCUAACACAUGCAAGUCGAGCGAGCGGCGGACGGGUGAGUAAUGUAUGGGGAACUGCCUGAUGGCGGGGGAUAACUACUGGAAACGGUAGCUAAUACCGCAUACCAUCAGAUGAACCCAGAUGGGAUUAGCUAGUUGGUAGGGUAACGGCUAACCUAGGCGACGAUCCCUAGCUGGUCUGAGAGGAUGAUCAGCCACACGGGAACUGAGACACGGGCCAGACUCCUACGGGAGGCAGCAGUGGGGAGUAUUGCACAAUGGGCGCAAGCCUGAUGCAGCCAUGCCGCGUGUAUGAAGAAGGCCUUCGGGUUGUAAAGUACUGUCAGCCGGGAGGCGUUACCGACAGAAGAAGCACCGGCUAACUCCGGGCCAGCAGCCGCGGUGAUAC
This 406-nucleotide ribosomal RNA is filed under the name uncultured bacterium. Its description in RNAcentral is "partial 16S ribosomal RNA". It matches the Rfam family "Bacterial small subunit ribosomal RNA", at positions 29 to 526 of the family's 1533-position model. The record is from RNAcentral.